Molecule: transfer RNA, 58 nt
Filed under: Mus musculus (house mouse)
Lineage: Eukaryota; Metazoa; Chordata; Mammalia; Rodentia; Muridae
Rfam family: tRNA
About the family: Transfer RNA (tRNA) molecules are approximately 80 nucleotides in length. Their secondary structure includes four short double-helical elements and three loops (D, anti-codon, and T loops). Further hydrogen bonds mediate the characteristic L-shaped molecular structure. tRNAs have two regions of fundamental functional importance: the anti-codon, which is responsible for specific mRNA codon recognition, and the 3' end, to which the tRNAs corresponding amino acid is attached (by aminoacyl-tRNA synthetases). tRNAs cope with the degeneracy of the genetic code in two manners: having more than one tRNA (with a specific anti-codon) for a particular amino acid; and 'wobble' base-pairing, i.e. permitting non-standard base-pairing at the 3rd anti-codon position.
Source: Rfam by way of RNAcentral
UGGCUCAGUGGUUAAGAGCUUGGACUGCUCUUCCAAAGGUCCUGAGUUCAAAUCCCAG